RNAcentral lists this ribosomal RNA (253 nucleotides) under uncultured bacterium. RNAcentral's name for it is "partial 16S ribosomal RNA". It matches the Rfam family "Bacterial small subunit ribosomal RNA", at positions 524 to 776 of the family's 1533-position model. The record is from RNAcentral.
UACGUAGGGGGCAAGCGUUGUCCGGAUUUAUUGGGCGUAAAGAGCGUGUAGGCGGCCUGGAAGGUCAGCUGUGAAAACUCGAGGCUCAACCUCGAGACGUCGGUUGAAACCACCUGGCUAGAGUCCGGAAGAGGGGUGUGGAAUUCCCGGUGUAGCGGUGAAAUGCGCAGAUAUCGGGAAGAACACCCGUGGCGAAGGCGGCACUCUGGGACGGUACUGACGCUGAGACGCGAAAGCGUGGGGAGCGAACAGG